GACGAACGCUGGCGGCGUGCCUAAUACAUGCAAGUUGAGCGAUGAAGAUUGGUGCUUGCACCAAUUUGAAGAGCAGCGAACGGGUGAGUAACGCGUGGGGAAUCUGCCUUUGAGCGGGGGACAACAUUUGGAAACGAAUGCUAAUACCGCAUAACAACUUUAAACAUAAGUUUUAAGUUUGAAAGAUGCAAUUGCAUCACUCAAAGAUGAUCCCGCGUUGUAUUAGCUAGUUGGUGAGGUAAAGGCUCACCAAGGCGAUGAUACAUAGCCGACCUGAGAGGGUGAUCGGCCACAUUGGGACUGAGACACGGCCCAAACUCCUACGGGAGGCAGCAGUAGGGAAUCUUCGGCAAUGGACGAAAGUCUGACCGAGCAACGCCGCGUGAGUGAAGAAGGUUUUCGGAUCGUGAAACUCUGUUGGUAGAGAAGAACGUUGGUGAGAGUGGAAAGCUCAUCAAGUGACGGUAACUACCCAGAAAGGGACGGCUAACUACGUG
Molecule: ribosomal RNA, 497 nt
Filed under: uncultured bacterium
Lineage: Bacteria
Description: partial 16S ribosomal RNA
Rfam family: Bacterial small subunit ribosomal RNA
Source: RNAcentral